CAUCUUGCAACCUAGAGUAGGGUUUUCUUCGGGCAGAUGACAGGUGUGCAUGUUGUUGCCACUGUGUCGGAGAGUUGGGUAAGUCCGCAACGAGCGCAACCCUUGAUCUUAGUUGCCUUCAUUAAGUUGGGCACUUUAAGGUGACUGCCGUGGACAAACCGGAGGAAGGUGGGGAUGACGUCAAAUCAUCAUGCCCCUUAUGACUUGGGCUACACACGUGCUACCAAUGGACGGUACAAAGAGCUGCAAGACCGCGAGGUGGAGCUAAUUUCAUAAAACCGUUUUCAGUUCGGAUUGUAGGCUGCAACUCGCCUACAUGAAGCUGGAAUCGUUAGUAAUCGCGGAUCACCAUGCCGCGGUGAAUACGUUCCCGGCCCUUGUACACACCGCCCGUCACACCACGAGAGUUUGUACCACCCGAAGUCGGUGGGGUAACCUCUGGAGCCAGCCG
RNAcentral lists this ribosomal RNA (451 nucleotides) under Bacillus cereus. Its description in RNAcentral is "bacterial SSU rRNA". It matches the Rfam family "Bacterial small subunit ribosomal RNA", at positions 988 to 1455 of the family's 1533-position model. The record is from RNAcentral. Lineage: Bacteria; Bacillati; Bacillota; Bacilli; Caryophanales; Bacillaceae.